ACGGGUGAGUAACGCGUGGGUGACCUACCCUGGAAUUUGGGAUAACACUGCGAAAGUGGUGCUAAUACCGGAUACGAUCCUUCAGCGAUGGAGGGUGAAAGUCGGCCUCUCGAAGAAGCUGAUGUUCUGGGAUGGGCUCGCGUCCUAUCAGCUAGUUGGUAGGGUAAUGGCCUACCAAGGCGACGACGGGUAGCUGGUCUGAGAGGAUGAUCAGCCACACUGGCACUGGAACACGGGCCAGACUCCUACGGGAGGCAGCAGUGAGGAAUUUUGCGCAAUGGGGGAAACCCUGACGCAGCAACGCCGCGUGGGUGAAGAAGGCCUUCGGGUCGUAAAGCCCUGUCAGGUGGGAAGAAUGCCUUGGGGGUGAAUAAUCUUCGAGGGUGACGGUACCACCAGAGGAAGCACCGGCUAACUCCGUGCCAGCAGCCGCGGUAAUACGGAGGGUGCGAGCGUUGUUCGGAAUCAUUGGGCGUAAAGGGCGUGCAGGCGGUUGGGUAAGUCUGAUGUGAAAGCCCGGGGCUCAACCCCGGAAGUGCAUUGGAAACUGUCCGACUUGAGUACCGGAGAGGAUGGGGGAAUUCCC
RNAcentral lists this ribosomal RNA (586 nucleotides) under uncultured bacterium. RNAcentral's name for it is "bacterial SSU rRNA". It matches the Rfam family "Bacterial small subunit ribosomal RNA", at positions 102 to 671 of the family's 1533-position model. The record is from RNAcentral.